This 304-nucleotide ribosomal RNA is filed under the name uncultured bacterium. RNAcentral's name for it is "partial 16S ribosomal RNA". It matches the Rfam family "Bacterial small subunit ribosomal RNA", at positions 509 to 807 of the family's 1533-position model. The record is from RNAcentral.
CAGCAGUCGCCGCGGUAAAACGAAGGGUGCAAGCGUUAAUCGGAAUUACUGGGCGUAAAGCGUGCGUAGGCGGUUUGUUAAGUCUGCUGUGAAAUCCCCGGGCUCAACCUGGGAACUGCAUUUGUGACUGGCGAGCUAGAGUAUGGCAGAGGGUGGUAGAAUUCCACGUGUAGCAGUGAAAUGCGUAGAGAUGUGGAGGAAUACCGAUGGCGAAGGCAGCCCCCUGGGCCAAUACUGACGCUCAUGCACGAAAGCGUGGGGAGCAAACAGGAUUAGAUACCCGCGUAGUCCCUGUCUCUUAUAC